CUUCUGCUGAAGAUAAGAUAGAUGUAAAUCCCCGUUCAGUAGGUGAUACCGAACUGGGACAGCACUGUCUUCACUGAUGGCUGAUGGAAAGAGAGAAAUGCAUUUUGUAUGGCUUCUUUUGCUCAUCAUCAUAAACAUCAAAGAAGUACGUUUUUCCUGGCAACUGCAGAAAGUCUGACAAUUCUGUAUUCAGGACUGAAUGCAAGGGAUUCAUGAAGCACUGCACACCACAAGGCUUCCUGUAUCCUGGAGAUUUAAAAUAUGCAACAGCAUCCUGCUCCUAUUAGAUGCCCAAUAUUCAUAUCUGAAAUCACGUUUUGGCCACAAAAGAGAAAUUAAUAACCCAUCACUCACCAUUUUCUACGGGCAGAAGAAGCGGACAUUUCUACACCUUCGAGCAGGCUGGUGAGGAGACCCCUCUGCUUGCAUGCAAAAGAUGCCACUGCAAAUGCCUGCCCAGCCUGCAGUCCUGGAGGGAGAAUGACAUUCCUUGCUCAUUGCUGUGGGGCAGAAGUUUCCAUUCCUGACUCAGGAGGCACAUACGUUUCCACAAGAAGUUUCUGGGUUUGAUGAUGGCACAUAUCCAGAAGAGCCCAGGCUGCGACUCAGUGGUGAGCUGGAGCUGAUCAUCUACCUCAGGCAUCCAGGGCUGUGUUUAUGUCUUUCUUGUUCCCCAGCUUUGCUGAAAGGAGCAGGCAUUCCUCCUGUGGAUGGGUCUGGCUCCUCAUCUACUUGACCUCUUCCAGCCUUCCUUGGAAAACUCUGUCCGCUUAGCUGUGGAGAGCUUUAUAUUUCAUCUGGACUGGCAUCUGGUUUGGAGGUCUGGAACACAGUGUUUAUGCUUGUCUUGUCUUUUUUUACCGCUUCUAAGGUAUGUUGUUUUACUACCCAGGAAUCAAGUGAAGGCUUUAGUAGAGAAGAGUUUUGCUACAAAAUCCAACAAGGCAGGCAAAAAAUUCUGGAUGUGCUGCAGUCGCCGUCAUGAACUUACAUGAGAAUUUUUUUUUAUCUAGGCAGCAGAAAUGUUUGGGUUAAGCUGCCAGUGACACUCUGUCACAAGUCUCUCUGCCAACCUGUGAAUCAGACGCUUAUGAUCAAAUUGGGUCAAUUAAGCUGUUGCGUUGCCUGUUUUGGAUGGCUUGGCUGAACAGCCUUGUUUUAGCUAGAACUGUUAUUUAUGAGUUAUCACAGGAAGAUUCCAGUGUUAUGAUCACUGUUAUUAACACGAGUUUAGAGGAACAAAGGCUUUGUACUAAAAAGAAACAGUAAGGAAAAGACUUACACAGUGCCAUGUAGGCUGGGUUCCUUACAGCAGUAUACAUUUCCCUCUUAAUUAAAAUAGUUAAACUGGAGAACUAGACAUUGAUACAAUAUGUUGUUCCCAUUCUGGAAAUACAUUCACUAAGAGUUAAUAAAUAAUCUAUGAAUUCUAAUCUUUUAAAGUCAUUUCAGAGGGAUGAAGUCAUCUGCUAUAAUUGUAAAUGCAGUACCUCUACCUUCACUGCAUUCAAAUGUAAAGGUGAGAAACCAGUUAGAGGUGCUGAGUUGCUAGAGGGAGAUGCCUUGAUUUAAAUGCCACAUCAUAUUUUUAGCAAAUUGAUUCACUAGAAUAAUAUUUUCUUCUAAUAUGAGGCCUAGACUUCCACUUGCUUAUCCCAGGUUUAACUAGGCAAAGAGAUUAAUUUUCUUCUCACUAUAUCUACAGAGAUUGCCUCAAUCAAUACCAGCUGCCUAGAUAGACCAGAUUUCCCAACUACACAGCACUAGCUACCUGAUGCCAGACCUACAAGAGCAUCACACUUUCAUUUUGACAUCUGAAACAACUCUUGCUGCAGGAGUGCAUUUGAAGCUGCUUUUGAUAAAUGUAGGGGUGGUACUCUCCUUUGCUUUGCUUUUAACAGGAGCUGAGCUGACUUGCCUGGAAAAUUAAGCUUUCUGUGUCCAAUUUCAGUCCAAUUUCAGAUCCUAAAUGGAAGGUACAUGUCAGGCUGUAAAUCUUCGCAAGCAGUGCAGUGACUAGUCAUUGCUGAAUUUGGUUUUCUGCCUCCAGACCACUAGCAGACUCAGGGCAGAUCAUUGUGGGUGACUAUGUUGUCCAGCAGUUGCAGUAAGGACUGCAGCACAUUCAUUCUUAUCUCUGAUACCUGUAUUUCCAUAACCAGCUUUAAUUCUUUUGUUGACAGUCAAAUUAGGUGGCACAAUGCUGCCAGUUAGUGCAGGCAAGGAUAAGCCAUGUCAAGCUUCAGAAUCACUCAGCUCCCAUCCGUUGUUUAUUCAUGACAAAAUGUCACUGUUUGAAGUGAGUCCCCCUCAUCCGUAGUGAAUAGUGAGUUUUAAUUGUAGCCGCAUCAUCGAAGGUCUGCAGUCAAGCACUGCUAUGUUUCUUGGUGAUCACAAACCCAAGGGGAAUGUUUUUCAUGAAGCAGAGAGCCCAGGAACUUGACGGCUAAAGUCCCACCGAAAGGAAAACUCAAGCACACUUGAAAUGCUCAGAGCAAAGAUCAAACUUCCCUCGCAUCUCCUGCAGCGCAGCAGAAAUGUUACUCACUAGAGAUCCAACCCUGGCUAAACUUAGUGCUACAGAAAUUAAAGACAGGUUGCACCACUUUCCUAAGUCAUUCAAUACCCCAGCAUUUUAUGUGAAUAUCCAUGGCAGCAUUGUCCAGUGUAUACAUUAUAUAGAGAGUCAAAAAUGGUAUAUCAAUGAUAGCAUCUUUAAUAGCCAUAAAAAUAAAGGGAGGAAGACAGAGGGUGAUAAAUAAAGAGCAGCAUGUAUUGAUCCACAUGCGUCUGGUUUCUCAGAUUUCUUAUACAGUUCAUGGGAACAAAAAUCUGUCCGUUCUUCCUCAUACAAAAUAAACUACUUUUCAUUAACAGAUAGUGGAUGAUCUCACAGGUUUUAAAGAAACAUUCAAGAGGGAUUUACCAGAUAAAGGUAUGAUGAAGACUAUUAAUAUAACAAUAAAUUUUGUCAGCAUUGCCUUUUGAAACUAGGACAACUGCAAUGACAACAACAACAACAA
Cuculus canorus (common cuckoo) is the source of this 3023-nucleotide long non-coding RNA. RefSeq lists it as uncharacterized. The record is from RefSeq and is a predicted model, not a curated record. The transcript has 5 exons. Lineage: Eukaryota; Metazoa; Chordata; Aves; Cuculiformes; Cuculidae.